RNAcentral lists this ribosomal RNA (509 nucleotides) under uncultured organism. Its description in RNAcentral is "bacterial SSU rRNA". It matches the Rfam family "Bacterial small subunit ribosomal RNA", at positions 49 to 560 of the family's 1533-position model. The record is from RNAcentral.
UUAUGCAUGCAAGUCGAACGAUGAAGCAGAGCUUGCUCUGUGAAUUAGUGGCAAACGGGUGAGUACAAGAUAGGCAACCUACCUCGAAGACGGGAAUAUACGGCAGAAAUGCCGGGGAAUAGCCGAUAAUGUCUCUUCCUUCAAUGGUUGAGAAGAAAGGUGCAAACCGCUUUGAGACGGGCUUAUCUCCUAUCACGGCAGUUGGUAAGGUAACGGCUUACCAAACCUACGACGGGUAGCUGGUCUGAGAGGACGGUCAGCCACAUUGGGACUGAGACACGGCCCAGACUCCUACGGGAGGCAGCAGCCGGGAAUAUUCGGCAAUGGGCGAAAGCCUGACCGAGCGACACCGCGUGAGCGACGAAGGCCUUCGGGUCGUAGAGCUCUUUUAUUUGGGAAGAAUGCAUAGUAAUAUGUUUGACGGUACCAUUUGAAUAAGCCCCAGCUAACUACGUGCCAGCAGCUGCGGUAAUACGUAGGGGGCAAGCGUUAUCCGGAAUCACUGGGCG